Delphinapterus leucas (beluga whale) is the source of this 9646-nucleotide non-coding RNA. The record is from RefSeq and is a predicted model, not a curated record. Lineage: Eukaryota; Metazoa; Chordata; Mammalia; Artiodactyla; Monodontidae.
CUCCCCCCCAACCACGCUUUCCCCAGGCUAACCAUAAGUUCAUUCUCUAAGUCUGUGACUCUGUUUCUGUUUUGUAAGUAAGUUCAUUUGUAUCUGGUAACCUGGUUUUUGUGGCUGCCACCCAAGGGAUGCUCCUUGAUCUGGUGGCUCUGUUGGCCAGCGUUGGAAGGGGUGGGUGUAGGGUUAGCGGUGGGAUGGAGGGGUGGGAGGGUAGGGAGGAGGCAGGGGGUGGCGGCUUGCAUUCCUGGGUCCCACAGGACUGUGGCAAUCAGAGAGGUAGUUCUUGGCAGGCUAUCACCGCCAGGGCACCGCACAGACAACGGACUGAAACACACCCCCAGUCUUUCUACGAAGGAGGUCUCUUUGCUUGUCCUGGAGCUUUGGCCUGAGGGGCUGGCUUCAGGUCUGGCUCACAUUUAGUGGCCUAUAGAGCUGCUUUCAAGGAAUGUAGGCUGUAGAACGUAGCGCCCCUUGGCACUCUCCCUCCGCCUCGCGCCAGCUCACCACUAUCACCCAGAAAAGGAACUUACACACUCAUUUGGAGCCCUGAUUUCGGCAGCUGCCACCCAGGGGACCCCUCCAAAUCUUCCGACGCUGGUGGGCAUCAGGGGUUACACUUAACAGUCCCACAGGACUGUAUAUAUCUACAUACUUAAAGGAAAAACUGAUCCUGAGGGUCUAGCUUGCAGUCAGCCUGAAUCUAGGUUCUGAGAGCCUCCCGUUUGAGACACUGACAGGUCUUAGCACAUCCUCAACUAUGAGGAGUUAUUAAAUACAUACAGUAAGUCCCCUACAUACAAACCUUCAAGUUGCGAACUUUCAAAGACGCAAAUGUGCGUUCGCGUGUCCAAUCAUGUAAGUUAGUUCACGUGUCUAGAGUACAUUGGUCACAUCGCAUGCAUCUUCUACAAGUGGCUGUGCUUUUGCGUACUUUACUGUACAGUACUGUAUAGAGGACAGUAGUACAGCAUCUUUAUUUCAAGCCCAGGAUGUCUGGAAGCAAGUGUAAAAGCAGCAGUGAUAUACCUGGUACUUUUCAAGGUAAUGUACUGUAAGAUUAAAAAUGUUUUCUUUAUUUUUUGCGUUUGUCUUUUAUGUAUUAUUUGUGUGAAAAGUAUGAUAAACCUAUUACAGUACAGUACUAUAUAGCCGAUUGUCUUAGUUGGGUACCCAGGCUAACUCUGUUGGACUUGCCAACGAAUUAAACUUACGAACGCGCUCUUGGAACGGAACUCGUUCAUAUGCAGGGGACUUACUGUAGUAGGCUGCUUGGACAAGCACAAAGGUUAGAGAGACAAACAGGAGCUGAGGCAGAGCUGAAUGACAAGGUUCAUCUCCUGCAUGAGGCUACUCCUUCAAAACUGGAAAAGGUUGUUGCUUCAUCUCUAUAGAAGCCAACACAGAGACACAGAGGGGUUGAAUGGAUGAAAAACCAAGACCCAUCCACAUGCUGCCUACAAGAGACUCCCUUUAGAUAUAAGGAUACACACAGACUGAAAGUGAAGGGAUGCAAAAAGAUAUCCCAUGCAACUAGAAGUUAAUUUCACGAGGAAACCUGGAAAAUCACACAGAUGUGGAGAUUGAAAAACAUGCCACUGAACAACCAAUGGAUCAUCUUGCUUUUCUAGAUUUUCUUGGGGACACAGCACAUACACUACCUAAGACUGACCUUGGUGAUGCAGUGGAUGCUCUCAUGUGCUUCUUGAGUGCUAGUUCAAUGCCAUUUUUACCGCCUAACCUCAGCAUUCUGACUCAGAGCUCUAAUGAGCAGAAAUGCCUCCUGGCCCAUCUAGAUAGAUCCCAACCAGCAUCUCUGCUCCCAGUGCUGACUAUACUUGGUAUCUCUUUUACACACUUUAUUUUUAUUUCAAAGGGUAACAUUAGGAAGAGCAAAUCAGGUCUCCCUCUUUUUUGCCUGAAGACCACAGAAGUAAAUCUGCGGUUUCCUGAAAGCCUCAGACCAUACUGCUCAAAAAUGUCAAGGGUAAAGAUGAGAGACUAGGUUAAAUUUCUCUUGGGAUUCCUUUCAGCUGAAGGAUAUGUGAGAGAUAAAUUCAUCCGUUCAUCCAUCCACCCACCUGUCACUUUAUAUAUUUAUUCAACUCACUUUUAUUAUGUACCUCCUAUGACCAGCACUCUUCUUGAGCAUUAUGACUGCAUUAACCUCUCACCUCUCCAGUAGAUCAUGAGGGUAGCACCUGGCAAAGGGUAGACAAAUGAAUAUUUGCUGAAUGCAUAAAUGAGUGAACUAGGGAAUGGAUCUAUUAGAAGAAAAUUAUAUCCCAAAGAUACGUCAGCAUGACUUCCUGGUUAUUCACGCCAGCGUUCUCUUCCAAAUGGCAAAGAUAAAAUGCUGACUCUAUUAUUAAAAAUCUUCAUAAAUUCAGACACUAUUUUGGAAUCUGUGGUAAUUUAGAAAAGGGCGGUAUUAGCUGGGAGGAAAAUAACCUCCGUAAAUAUUUUGAGGCGAAAAAUGUAAAACAUUUCAGAAAUCCCUUUAAACACUUAACUAGCCUCCAUAUAUGUGAAUUUAAAUUGUUAUUUAUUAAUUAAAGGGAUUCCUUUAAGACCUCUGCUAAGUCAUUCUCUCUUGAGUAACGGAACAUUUUUUAAAGCAACACUAAGUUUGAAAAUAUUUUACAAUUUAAGGAUAUUCAGAUUUAUCUCCUGCAACUAGUCCCAAUUAAGGGGAGUUUUCUCAAAUUAUAAAACCUCUUGCAGUGAGAGACCCUGAAGCACUUCACAUGUAUGGGCUUAUUCAUUAUGCCUCUAUCAUAAGAAGCAUGCAAGCAACAGUGCUGUCAAUUCUAAAUUGAAAAGAGGUGUACUAAAGCCCUUCAGCAAGGUAAAACAAGCCACACGGGGUUCUCGGGGAAGAGCACUCCAGGCAGAGAGAACAGCUCACGCUUCAGCCCUGAAGCAGGGUUCUUACCAUGGGGUCCCUGAACCUCAUGUAGGUCCAUAGACGGAAUUCAGGGGUUUGUGACCUUUCCACUUACUCCAGCUGAGAUUUAGCAUUUCCAUCAACUAUGAACAUAAGCAACAAACCAAGGUAGCAGUACCUUGGAUGCUGAAGCCAACGGAAAUCACAGAUAUUUUCAUAUCACAUUAUAAUUCUUACAGAUAUCUCACAAUAUCUUUUAUACCAUCACUACUUCAAAACUAUGGUAUUUAUUGGAUGAAUGUUAGCUUUUCAAUUGAAUGCUUAGUAAAGAAACAUUAUUAGAUCGCAUACUUGCUUUAUUAAUAUUGUGAUAUCUGUAUUUUGAUUAUAAUUGGUUUUCUUUAUAAUAUACAGUCUGCAUCUGAAAGCACUGUUCUGAGAAGCAGUCCCCUAGGCUUCAUCAGACUAGACUCCAGGGCAUGCUUCUCUUAUUUUGGAAAAAGAUAAAAGAACACUGUGGCUGCAGGGAUGUGAGCAAGGUCAGAGAAAUGGCAGGUCGGGUGGGGGCUCAGAUCAUAGAGAGCCUUACAGUUCAUUGUAAGGCUCUGGUUUUUAUUCUAAAGGCUUUGAAGAGUUGUGUGUUCUGACUCUUGAUUUUAAAGGAUUACUUUGACUGCUACGUUGAGAGUAGAUUGUAGGGGGCAAGGGCAGAGAGGGAGACCAGCGAGGAGGCUGUGAUUACAAUCCAGCCUAGAGAUGAUGGUGGGUUGGAGCAGCUUGGUAGCAACUGAAGUGGUGAGAAAUGUUCAGAUUCUGGAUAUAUUCUGAAGGUGGAUAUAUCUUGAAGGAUUUCUCUGGGGAAUGGGGGAUUGAUGGACAGAGGGUUAUGUCAGAGAGAAAUGCAGGUCAAAAAUGAUGUCAAGAUUUUAGGCUCACGCAACUGAAAUAAAGGCACUGCCAUUCUCUGAGACUCAGAGAAAAACUCCAUGAAGAAGCAAUUUGGGGAGCAAAACUCAGGCAUUCAGUUUUGGAUAAGUUAGGUUUGAAACAUCUGAUAUUCACUGAGGGAUGCUGAACAGGCACUUGGAUCUGUUCACCUAGGCUUAGAGGAAAGGUCUGGGCUGGAAAUACAAAUCUAGGAGUUGUCAGCAUACAGAUGACAUCUGAAUCCUUGAGCAUGAAUGAGAUCGAUGAGGGAGUGAGUACAGCUAGAGAGCAGAAAACGUCUGAGCACUAGUCCUGAGGUACCUUAACUUAGAGAUCAGAGAUGUGAGGCAAAGCCAGCGGAGGAGGCUGAAAAGGAACAGGUGAUACGGUGGGUGUAGAACUGGGAGCGUGGUUUCCCAGAAGCUGAUGAGAAAGUAUUUCACGAAGGAGGGAGGGAAUAGCUACUGUCAAAUGCAGUCACUGUCAAAGGGCCAAGUAAAAGGUCUGAGGAUUGACCACUGAAUUGGCAAUGCACAGACUUACAUGGUGGGCCUGCUGGUAACCUUGACAACAGCUCUGAAGGUUGAGUGGUGUGGAUAAGCUUGGCUGGAGUGAGCUCACGAGAGGAUGAGGGGAGAUGAAACUGGAGACUGUACGAACUACUCGAGGCGUUUCGCUAUGAUGGAAAUUGAGGAAUGAGGCAGUAGCUGGAGGGGGAAGUGGAGUCAAGGUCAGGCUAUCUAAAGGUGGCUUCACUCACCUGGAAUUUGCAAAAUCUUCCUAACCGUUCUCACUGCUCCCACACUGGCCUUCCUUUCACUCUUUGAUUCCCUAGUCUAUUUUCAACAUGGUAGCCAGAGUGUUUCUCCUAAAACAUAAGUCAGAUCAUGUCAUUCCUCCAAUGGCUUCCAUCUCAUUCAGAAUAAAAAACAGAGUGCUUAUGAUGGCUUAUAUGGCGCUACGUGAUCUGCCUCUAUCAUCUCAAAAACAAAACAAAACAAAACAAAAACGCUGAGAGACAGAGAGAGGCAGAUUCUUGAUUAAAUCAUUUAUGUUCCUGAAUCUAGAUGUGUCCAAAGUUAGCUGCACCCUAGGACUUUUCAGUUUCCAGAGCCAGUAACUUCUCUAUUUUUCUUGAGCCAGUUUGAGGUGGGUCUCUGACACUUGUAACCAUGGGCGUCUGGACUAAAAACGUAGGUAUGAAAACCACCCAGAUGGCCAGAUGGCCACAGCAGCGCGCACUUCUGGGAACAAACUGGCAUCAUCGUAUUCCAAAAGGAAAUGUCGGAGAUGAGAGGUUUGCAGUGAGCAGGAUGAGACCACAGCAGAAUACGGCCCGGCCUCUUCCUCCUCACUCUACACGACUAACCUGGCCACGUUCAUCAGCGUUUAAGAACACAGCGAUGAUUCCUAUGCUGACAAUGCCCGCAUCUGCCUGUCCAGCCUGAACCCAUCCCUCGAGUUCAACACCAACAGUUCCUGGACGUCUCCCAUCCGCGAGUCCCAAAGGUGCCUCAAACGCAGUAAGUCCCACAGCAAAUUCGCUCUCCCUCUCCUCUUACCUCCCCGUAGGCUUGUUCCGCAUCAUCAUUUCAGCACCGCAUCUAUCCAACCUCCCCACCUUGGAGCCUCAGAGCCACGCCCGUAUCUCGCCUCUGCAUCCUCCAUGUUUCAUUUGCCACCAAGUUAGAAAAAACCAUCACUUCUAACUUAGGAUGUUCCUGGAUCAUCUCUUCUUCUCCAUUCUCACGAUGAAAACUGAACAUUUAAGCUACCACUAGUCACCUCCAGGGCAUGGGAAGAAAUGAUGUUGCCAGUUUAUAAGAUUAGAGGCAAACUGAACACAGUGUAGGCAAAGCACAAAGGGAAUCGUUACUAAUCGAUGAAACAAAUGAACAAGAGUUCACAGUUUCAGUGUCGAAGAGAAUAUCUCAAAGCUACUAGCACAAAAGGUACAUACCCUUCUUGACUGGUGGGUCAAUCCUCACAAUGCAGUACAUUUUGCAAGGCAUUUCCCUCUUUUGAGUUAACUGGUAUCAUACCCUUUUGUUCUUUUGGCAAUAGAUAUGUAACUAAGUUUUUUGGAUAUAAAGGAUUAUCCUUCAAUGAGGCCGUAUCCAGAACUUCCUCCAGAUAUAAGGCUCUGGCUUUUACCAUUCACAGAAUUCUCUUGAAUAGCUACGGGAGUACUUCCUGUUUAGUAGAAUUAUGUUAACAGAUGGGCAUAAUCAGGUCCCCAAGUAAUUUGAUCUGAGGACCUUAGAAACAAUCUGGGUCAUAGCAUCGAGCCCCAACUCCAUAAUCCAGAGUCUUUCCUCAAAGGUCUUUAAAACGUGUUUAUUUUGCCGUAGACGAAGGGUGCCAGCAAGUCCUCUUCCUGGUGUGGUCAGCCCUGACCUCUCAGCAACCCUGGACUCCUGCUUGGCUUGGGACUGAGCAGCUCUCUUUAACUCCAACAGUCGUAUCUCACAAGCACUACACAGUUCACUGCUGGAUAGUGUCCUCUGGGGUCUCGUUUACAGGCUAGAAAGGACCCCUGAGAGUUAUUCUAUGUAUUACCUGAAAACCGAAAACCUCCAGUGGUUCCCUGAAGAACAAGACUCAAAGUCAAAGCUGGUGCAAAUCAAGCGCAGGGAUGCAUGCUGGAGUUUACAAGUGGUGACAACCACUGACCCCAGCACAGGGAAUUCCUCAACAGCAGCUCAAAUGGGGAUAAUCUUGGGACAUUCGGAGGCCCUUCCUGAUCAACAUCAAUUUUGGUAAUCUGUCAAUGUAACGUUGGGACGUGGAUCGACAAAGAGCUCUGAUACGUUCCUUAAAAGCUACAUUCAAUGUAUGGCUUGUUUGGAAGUCAUACACCAUGACCUACAAGUUGAUCUUGCUGCGGCCACCAGCAAGCCCUGGGAACUACGUGUGGGCUGCUGUCAGUGGAGCUCCCGGGGUGAUCUCUCAAGGCUUGGUUGACUCCCCAAGGCUCCCUUUCCUCCUCCCUCAAGGCACUGACGCUUCUCUUGUGUCUCUGAGCUGCCCCACUUACCCUGUUGAGCAGUUCCUCUCUCCUUAGGAGUGAUGGGGAGUAAGAUUCGGUUUUCCUAGCUCCAUAGCUUUGACACUUCUUGGAGGAGAAAAGCACAAAAGCCCUUCAAUGUCCGGGUACCACUGCUCACAACAGCUCAUCCUCCGGCCCCGGGAACCUCACCGUUCUCACCUCACUGUGGGUAAUCGCUAAGAUUUUCUACGUGCCUUCUCUCCACUAGGGACUUAGUUGCUAUUCUCUUUUAUCACUUGGAAAGUUUCUACUAAUUCUUAAAGAGCCAUCUUAAGGCCACUCUUCCAUGACCCCCUCUGACACUGAAGCUGAUUGCUCCUUUGUGAACCUUUGAACAUGCUGACAUGCCUAUUCCACCUUCAGAAUGAGCCCAGAGCAUGGCCCCGGCCCUGCCAUUUAACCCCAGUUUCUGGUUCACUCCUUGUUACCCACUGUUUCCUGAGGAAGAGUCUCUCAUUUUGAGAUAACAUUUGAGAUAAGUUCCAGGAGACACUUUGGCCCCAGUUACUGGCUAAAGCACUGGCUCUUAACCUUAACCUUGGCUACACAUUAGAAUCUUCUUGGGAGCUUUAAAAAACCUUGAUUCUCAGGCCAUACCAUGGACAAAUUAAAUCAGACUCUCUCAGGGCAGGGUGGGGUGGGGUCGGAGGUGAUGUCCAGGCCUGAACUGACACUACCCAUGGUAAUAAAAUGGCUUGAGCAGAUUGUCUGUCAGUCAUGAAAAUGAACACAUGGGUAUUCAAUUAUCAAAUACAUAACUGGCGGGAAUAAAUGAAUGAAAAAUAAGAAGAAACAGAGGGGCUCCUAAAUUGGGAUGUUACUAAAGAUGCUGAAAUUCUAUUCCGGUCCUCUGUUAUUGCACCCUAAUGUGGGGUGCUCUCCUGACAGUGACUCUUUUUCUAACAUCAAUAGUUCCUGAAUGCCUUUUUCAGGCUGUACCGAGAAGCUUUUUAAAAUUUCUGGAGGUUGAAUUCCAACUAAAUUUCCUCUCCUCAAGUCCCCACCUUCUGUGGGUCCUGUGCACCCUGCUCUCUCUCUAGGAAGGCGCAAUUAGGGCAGAGGAGUGAACGUGGACAAACAAGUCAUCCGAGGGCUUCUGAUGGUUCUGUGUGUUUAACACGAGAAGGAUUCCUCCAGAGUCCACAGCUAUCCUGAGCUCUCCAUCCAUGUCCAGGGGAUCUUAGAGCAUAAAAGAGCUAAAGUUGAGACCCCUGGGGGGCAGAGAGCAAGUAGGGCCUUUCUAACAAGAUAAGCAGAUACGAUUGGUUUGAGGCAUUGCCUCUUACGGCCUUUAAAGGAAAGCUCCCCAACUGCUCCCUAGCAGAUCUCAGACAGGUCUGGGGAGCUCAGCACCGACCACUCUGGCUUCCGCUCCGACAGCAUCUGAGGAGCCAAGAGGACACAGGGCCCACCCCAGGCACCACUCGGAGACCCGGAGGAGUGAAGCAACUUGUCACAUUAGAAACCUACGCUUCAGAAGAUCACCAAGAGAAGACCUGAAGUUGGAAAGCAAAGAGGAGGAGCCCAGGAGGAACCCUGCCUACGGGGUCAGCAUCCAGCAGGCUCCCCCAGGACCGAGUCAUUACAAUUUAGCUACCUUAUGCCAGCAUUUCCUUCUACUUCUUGACUGUGUAGAGAUUUACGUUUCCUCCAAAUGGGAAAUUGAGAUGGAUCAAAGGAGAAGAAAAUCAUAUUCCAAGGAGCAUUCAGAAUCUUCAGCGGAUCUUCAAAGAACAGAAAAUUGCUUUACAUAAUCCAAGUAUGAGUACAAAGAGGUCUGGGGCAAGUAUAUCAAGGGUUUGAGGCAGUAGGGAGUCAUUACCGCAUGGUGCAUGACUCGCCAUGUUCCUUUCAUGCUACUGCAGUGAUGGGCGAGGUAUGCAUCAAGGUGGGGCCUCAAUCCUCCUGGGGACAGAUGGGGGACACUCAGGUAGACCUCUGGCCUAACACGCUGGCAUCCUGCAGGCUGGCGAGAGGCCAGCCUCUCCGUGGACUCUGCCUGGAUCCUAGACCUCCCACCAUGGGACAGUUCUCCAGUGGGCACUGGCUGCUGCUCAUACCUGAGCCUCCGACACCUUGUCCCUAAGCUGCAGCACUUCCUAAGUCCUGCCUCAGACCUCUGCUUUGACACUCUCCUCUCUGAUUAGGCCACCUGGGUGCCCAUUCUGCUGUCUCAAGCCCAGAGCCUCCUUCUCCCUCCAUUUCCUUUGGAGUCACACAGACUUGGGAUUAAAUCUUAGCUGCCACACUCGUUACAUAUAUACACACGGGAGUACCAACAAUCCUGACAUUGGUAUAUGUCCUUCCCAUGAAUGUUUGCAUAUUUUUGCCAUAUAGUCAUACACCCAUAAAUAAAAUAUAUGACUGUGCCGUAAGUUUUAACUUUACAUGCUAAUAUAUUAUGAUUAUGAUUUUAAUGAGAUAUAAUUUAAAUACUAUAAAAUUCACCCUCUCAAAGUAUACAAUUCGGUGUUGUUGUUUUUUUUAGUGUAUUCAUAAAGUUGUGCAACCAUCAGUACUAUCUAAUUCCAGAACAUUUUCAUCACCGCAAAAAGACCCGUGCCUAUUAGUCAUUACUCUCCAUUCUCUUGCAUUUUCCUCUCCUCUUCGCCACUGGCAGCCUUUAAUCGGUCUCUAUGGAUGUGCCUACUCUAGACAUUUCAUGGAUAUGUAAUCAUACACUGUGUGAUCUUUUGUGUCUGGCUUCUUUCACUUACCAUCAUUUUUAAAGAUUCAUCCAUGUUUUAGCAUGUAUCAAUAUUUCAUUCCUUUUUACGACCAAAUAA